UCAUAUAUCUCAGCUUGAAUUGAAAUUGGUCCUUUUCUACCUUUGAUCCCUCCACUUUCAGGGACCCCCUGUCCUUUUCUGUUUGAUGAUAUUUGAAAGAAAAUGGUGAUUUGGUGGCUGUUAAAGUGCAAAGGCCCUUUGUUCUUGAGGUUGUAACAGUUGAUUUGUUUGUCAUAUGAAAUUUGGGACUGGUUCUUCGCAAGUUUCCCCAGAUCUCUGUAGAUGUUGUUGGACUGGUUGAUGAAUGGGCAGCCCGUUUCUUUGAGGAGCUAGAUUAUGUUAAUGAGGGUGAAAAUGGAAUGUGUUUUGCUGAAAUGAUGAAAAAAGACCUUCCACAGGUGUAUAAAAUUUUCUUAAAAUGAUAUAUAUUGGUUUGCUAAAGUUACCUGAAUGGAGUAACUGAAUGAGAUAUGAUUGAUAAUUCCCUGAAUAGUUAUUUAUGUUGGUGAUGGUCAUUCAUUUUAUGGUUUUGCUUAUUGGUUUUAUUGAAGAUAUGAGACUAUUCUAAGUAUGAGGCUGCUCUUGCUUUUUCUUGGUCUACUCUCCCUAAUAAAUCAGUUUUGUGGGAUGUCUUUGCCUCUU
Humulus lupulus (European hop) is the source of this 582-nucleotide long non-coding RNA. RefSeq lists it as uncharacterized. The transcript is spliced from 3 exons. NCBI's taxonomy places the organism in Eukaryota, Viridiplantae, Streptophyta, Magnoliopsida, Rosales, Cannabaceae. The record is from RefSeq and is a predicted model, not a curated record.